GCGGGAAUUCGAUUUUCCGGUUGAUCCUGCCGGACCUGACUGCUAUCGGAUUGAUACUAAGCCAUGUGAGUCAUUGUAGCAAUACAAGGCAGACGGCUCAGUAACACGUAGCCAAUCUAACCUAUGGACGGGGAUAACCUCGGGAAACUGAGGAUAAACCCCGAUAGAUCAUUAUGCCUGGAAAGGUUUAUGGUCCAAAUGAUUCGUCGCCGUAGGAUGAGACUGCGGCCUAUCAGCUUGUUGGUGAGGUAAUGGCCCACCAAGGCUAUUACAGGUACGGGCUCUGAGAGGAGAAGCCCGGAGAUGGGUACUGAGACACGGACCCAGGCCCUAUGGGGCGCAGCAGGCGAGAAACCUUUGCAAUGUGCGCAAGCACGACAAGGUUAAUCCGAGUGUUUCCUGCUAAAGGAAUCUUUUGUUAGUCCUAAAAACACUAGUGAAUAAGGGGUGGGCAAGUUCUGGUGUCAGCCGCCGCGGUAAAACCAGCACCUCAAGUGGUCAGGAGGAUUAUUGGGCCUAAAGCAUCCGUAGCUUGCUCUGUAAGUUUCCGGUUAAAUCCAUUAGCUCAACUAAUGGCCUGCCGAAAAUACUGCAAAGCUAGGAAGUGGGAGAGGUAGACGGUACUCGGUAGGAAGGGGUAAAAUCCUUUGAUCUAUUGAUGACCACCUGUGGCGAAGGCGGUCUACCAGAACACGUUCGACAGUGAGGGAUGAAAGCUGGGGGAGCAAACCGGAUUAGAUACCCGGGUAGUCCCAGCUGUAAACGAUGCAGACUCGGUGAUGCACUGGCUUGUGGCCAGUGCAG
RNAcentral lists this ribosomal RNA (804 nucleotides) under uncultured archaeon. RNAcentral's name for it is "bacterial SSU rRNA". It matches the Rfam family "Archaeal small subunit ribosomal RNA", at positions 1 to 798 of the family's 1478-position model. The record is from RNAcentral.